UGGUCCAGUUGAUGAAUGACAUUUAACCUAACAUUGUUUAUUGCGUAUUACAAUAUUGCGUUUCUUAAUUGAUAAUCAUUUAAUGUUACCCUGUUUGAUAUUUGUGUCUACUUUUGUACAUUUCUUAGACUUAGAGAUCAACCUCGCAUUCAUUGCCCUGAGGAAGAAGCAAAAAAGCUUCGAAAGCUAGGCUUUACAUGAAUAAAGAGUAAAUAUA
Molecule: long non-coding RNA, 217 nt
Organism: Coccinella septempunctata (seven-spotted ladybird)
Lineage: Eukaryota; Metazoa; Arthropoda; Insecta; Coleoptera; Coccinellidae
Exons: 2
Source: RefSeq, a predicted model, not a curated record